Molecule: long non-coding RNA, 3865 nt
Organism: Oncorhynchus nerka (sockeye salmon)
Lineage: Eukaryota; Metazoa; Chordata; Actinopteri; Salmoniformes; Salmonidae
Exons: 2
Source: RefSeq, a predicted model, not a curated record
AAAGAAAGAAAGAAAGAAAGAAAGAAAGAUAGAAAGAAGAAAGAAAGAAAGAAAGAAAGAAAGAGAGAGAGAGAGAGAGGGGGGAGAGAGAGACAAAGAGAAAGGAACAAGUACAGAUAAUGAUGUAUGGUGUGGCCAAGAACAAAAGCCCUUGGCUCACGAAGCUGCUCAGAUGUGGGCAAGAGUUCCUCUGUGAAACCUAGCCCCUGCUCUCUCACGCACACUAACACACACACACACACACACACACACACACACACACACACACACACACACACACACACACACACACACACUGUCACUAAAUGGACAAGGGGCUUUUCUCAAUAAGCUGCCAUGCUGUUAUCUGUACCGAUUCGAUUGGCACUAGCUGAGCAGCUUUUGUGUGUGUGUGUGUGUGUGUGUGUGUGUGUGUGUGUGUGUGUGUGUGUCAUUGGGCAGGGGAACAGAUAAAUAAGAAGUGUGUCUGGUCUUAAAUGACCUCUCUUGUUCUCUCUAGGGCCCUAUAGCCUCUCUCAUCAACUAAUCCGUAGACACGGACAUAAUACCCCUCACACACUACUACUGUCCAAUCAACAGCUUUAGCAGAUGUUGAAUAGACCCUCCUGUCAGUUAGUAGACAGGUCUUACAGGUAUGGUAAGGCCCUCAUCUAGCACAGUUUCCAAGGUAAACGGGACUUAGUGUCAGUGUAAAAGUCUUAGAGAUGACCCCUCAAUCACUCACUCACUCAUCAUAGAGCGAAGAGGACAGCGUGAGAGAGAGAGAGAGAGAGACAGAGAGAGAGAGAGACAGAGAGAGACAGAGAGAGAGAGAGACAGAGAGACAGAGAGAGAGAGAGAGACAGAGAGAGAGAGGGAGCGAGAGAGAGAGACCCCUCACGUUCACAUCUCACGUCCUGCGGCACUGAUGAGGAUACAGAGGGGUCUCAGAGAGAGGGAGAGAACAAAGGACAGCUAGUGUGCGUUUCUCAGGAGGGCGUUUAACAACACUAUUACACGUGCUGUUAGUCAGCGCCUCGUUCUAACGCCACUUGUUUCUGGAGCCGCAACACAGACAAACGACGUGUCCAGUUAGCCUGAGACUCUGUCAUUUGCUAUCCUUAAAAACAGCCCACAGACUGAUGUGCGUGUGUGUGUGAGGGGGUGUUUGUGUGUGUGUGUGUGUGUGUGUGUGUGUGUGUGUGUGUGUGUGUGUGUGUGUGUGUGUGUGUGUGUGUGUGUGUGUGUGUGUGUGUGUGUGCGAGUGAGUGAGUGUAAAAGGGAGAAUUUCACAUGUCGUGAAAACGUCAGAAGGAGAGAACAAGAAAAUAAAUCUUGGCUAUCAAAACACAACUCCCCGAGUAACUGUUAAAAUAAGUUACAAAGUGGAGAGAGAGAAGGAGAGAGAGAGGAAUUGAGAAUGAAAAUGAUGUCAGAAUAUUUUGGCCAUCUCUCUCUCUCUUUCUCUCUCAACCCAAAUCAAUCCUUAAAGGGCAACAUUUCCAUGCUGUGCUGUUUUACUGUUACUAGUCUCUUUCUUUACUUGGCCUAAACUCUGAAGCAUUUACAGGCAUACUUAGCGGGUGAAUAUAGUUAGCUUGUGGUCGCAAUAUUGCGGCGCUGCAUUUUAACAGGUCAUUAUGAGGAAGGAGCGCUAUUCUCGAGUGGGGUUGCGUGGGAGUGUGUGUGUGUGUGUGUGAGACAAAAGGAAGGAUUUUCCAUCCCUUCAAAGGCGUCCCAGUCGUCUCUCUCCUAGUUUUACGACCUCAUGACAUCACCCAGACCCUUCCUGAAGCCAAGACCAGCCACUGCUUGAGUGAGAGCGGCACACUCGUGGGUACACUAUAAAACACAAUCCCAUAUGCAUAUUCCAUUCACAAUCACUUCAUUUAGAGUGUGUGUGUGUGACAGAGUAUGUGUGCAUGUGUGUGUGACACUGUGUGUGUGUGUUUUCCCACCAGUCUCUCUAGGCAACGGCAUAUUAGACUGACACAAAGCAUCAGGGUAAAUUAGCUGUGGCUCCGGCUAUAACAACUAGCUGUGUGUGUGUGUGUGUGUGAGUGUGUGUGUGCGAGUGUGUGUGUGCGAGUGUGUGUAGCUGUGUGUUUUGUCUUUGUGUCCCUAAUGGGGCAUGCUGGAAGAUAUUACUGUGUUGGUUAGGCCCCUAAUCCUUCCCCACUGGCCCCAAUCAGGGAGCACCAGCCCAACCUAGUACCCGCCUGUGUGCGUGUAUGUGUGUGUGUGUGUGUGUGUGAGACACCAGGCCUAGACCCUUCACUGCUGGAUACACCAGACCCAUAAUUAUUAUGAACAGUGCAUUAACGUAGUACGUGCAUGUGUGUGUUGCCACGGAGAGAACCCUGUCGUCGAGGGAGGCAGGGCGGGAAAAAAAAUGAUGACGCCAAUGUCUGCAGCCGGGGAAUUCAUCCAUCACGUACGAGGGCUCGAUUUAGAGGAAAACUGUUCCCAGGACAGUAGCAGACAUUUCAGCGCCUGGGGAUGGGAUAAAAGCCGCAGAGAGGCAUGUGGAAAUUCUUCUGUACUCUAUAGGAGGAAGAGCAUGUCGGCAGGACAUCAAACAGCGCCUAUAGGAGACAUCUCUUCCCACCUAAUUUCUCUGUCUGCAAGCAUCUCUCUCUCCCUGCUAUCAUCUCUCUCUAUCCCUCCCUCUCGUGUUUUCUCUCUCUCUGCUAUCAUCAGCCUACCCCCCCACCCCCUCCCACACCUUCUCACUAUCUGUCUGUUCUGAGCUCAAAGAGGCCAUUCCUCUCUGUUCCUGCUCUGUUGUUACCUGCCAGGGCGGGGCCCCGCGACUUGACAUCUUGUGGUCCCGUUGCCAAGGACACCGUUGGAGACCGGCUCGCUGUGAUGUCAACACACAUGCAAUGUAUUUCAUCACACACCCCCUGUCCCCCCGUCUUAGUGAACAAAAGCCAAGAUUGACUGAACUAGGGAGUGUCUGGGAGGGAAGAGCCAAUGGAUGAAUGAAUGGGUGACUGUCUGUACCUGUUCCUCUGUUUCACACAGCUAACACAUGGCAAGCCCAAACCCACUCUUCCGACAAAGUAGCUCAUCUGUAGCAGGACAAUAAAACAGGACAGUUAACGUUAAGUUAAGCUAAGAUACGCUAGGCUAAUAAUAAACUCACAGUGAAGCCCAACCAUUUUGCAUGAGUUAAUUAGCUGCUACCACUAACAAUGAGCAAUUGUGUCCCAUAUCUCAGCUCGCUGGUCACCAUAGCAUCUCCCACCUGUAGCACACGCUCCAGCAGGUAUAUCUCUCUAGUCACCCCCAAAACCAAUUCUUUCUUUGGCCGCCUCUCCUUCCAGUUCUCUGCUGCCAAUGACUGGAACAAACUACAAAAAUCUCUGAAACUGGAAACACUUAUCUCCCUCACUAGCUUUAAGCACCAACUGUCAGAGCAGCUCACAGAUUACUGCACCUGUACAUAGCCCACCUAUAAUUUAGCCCAAACAACUACCUCUUUCCAAACUGUAUUUAAUUAAUUAAUUUAUUUUGCUCCUUUGCACCCCAUUAUUUUUAUUUCUACUUUGCACAUUCUUCCAUUGCAAAACCACCAUUCCAGUGUUUUACUUGCUAUAUUGUAUUUACUUUGCCACCAUGGCCUUUUUUGCCUUUACCUCCCUUCUCACCUCAUUUGCUCACAUUGUAUAUAGACUUGUUUAUACUGUAUUAUUGACUGUAUGUUUGUUUUACUCCAUGUGUAACUCUGUGUCGUUGUAUCUGUCGAACUGCUUUGCUUUAUCUUGGCCAGGUCGCAAUUGUAAAUGAGAACUUGUUCUCAACUUGCCUACCUGGUUAAAUAAAGGUGAAAUAAAUAAAAAUAAAAAUAAAACAUUGGCCCACUAUGCUAGGCUACACUACA